UGGGGGGGAAUCUUCCGGCAAUGGACGGAAAGUCUGACUCGCAGCAACGCCGCGUGAGUGAUGAAGGUUUUCGGAUCUGUAAAACUCUGUUGUUAGAGAAGAACAUGGACGUUCGUAACUGAGCGUCCCCUGACGGUAUCUAACCAGAAAGCCCCGGCUAACUACGUGCCAGCAGCCGCGGUAAUACGUAGGUGGCAAGCGUUGUCCGGAUUUAUUGGGCGUAAAGCGAGCGCAGGCGGUUUCUUAAGUCUGAUGUGAAAUCCCCCGGCUCAACCGGGGAGGGUCAUUGGAAACUGGGAAACUUGAGUGCGUAAGAGGAGAGUGGAAUUCCAUGUGUAGCGGUGAAAUGCGUAGAUAUAUGGAGGAACACCAAUGGCGAAGGCGGCUCUCUGGUCUGUAACUGACGCUGAGGCUCGAAAGCGUGGGGAGCAAACAGGAUUAGAUACCCCGGUAGU
RNAcentral lists this ribosomal RNA (455 nucleotides) under Enterococcus sp. RNAcentral describes it as "bacterial SSU rRNA". It matches the Rfam family "Bacterial small subunit ribosomal RNA", at positions 352 to 794 of the family's 1533-position model. The record is from RNAcentral. Lineage: Bacteria; Bacillati; Bacillota; Bacilli; Lactobacillales; Enterococcaceae.